RNAcentral lists this long non-coding RNA (996 nucleotides) under Anser brachyrhynchus (Pink-footed goose). RNAcentral's name for it is "lncRNA (ENSABRG00000019698.1)". Lineage: Eukaryota; Metazoa; Chordata; Aves; Anseriformes; Anatidae. The record is from RNAcentral.
CUAUACCACAUCUACAAUCGUUUUGACAGAUGAAUUUGAAUGCUAAUAUUUCAUAAAUAGCAUUUUUGGAGGAUGGAACGAGGCAUCAUGCGCAGUAUGGAAACCUAUCACCAAAAUACAUCUUAAUAUCAGUAAACUAUAGUCACACCAGGGGCGGAUUUCAGAAAGAGGGGCUGCAUCUGACACCACUGUCGUGUUAUUUUCAGAUGUCAGUGUAUAUCCCACCUCUGUAAUGAUUAUUUCCCUGAGGGGAUCUGAACCCAUGCAUCACUCCACAUUUGAACAAAUCUAUCGCUUUACAGAAGCCUGAGCGUUAGGAAAACCUGCCUUUUUCUGCCGCUUCUUCUCUGGGAGAAAAAGACAAGACCUACUGCAAACCUGCCGCCCUCCCCAUAUCCUGCCGUUCUUUGGGUGCUGUGUCCGUCUGUCUGGAGACCCUGCUUGCAGUUACCUGCUUCUGUGAAGGAGCUUAGCUCGGCUCUUGAAGUGAAGACUUUCAGGUGUGCUCUCCUCCUUCAGUUUCAAGCUACUCUCAUUUAAAUCUGUGUUCAAGUACGUCUUGGCCACACUGAUAACUGGUAGUGUGUUUACUUCCAUUUAUUUAACUUAGCUGGUGUUUUGCAUUCUUAAUUGAAAGGGUUUCAGUAUUGCCCCCUCACCAUUUAGUGCAAGGUUUCAUUUGCUGAAGGAACUGAAAAGAAUUUAUUAGACCUGCUGGUUGUACUAAAAAGGGUUAGAUUUCCAAAUAUUGGAGGAGCUAGCUGCCUGAGUUAAGUGUCUGAAAAUACUGUCUGGAUUAUUUUUACCUAUUUAAGCAACAUUUGAACAUAUAAUGUUUUCUACCCCUUUUAGUUUAACUUUUGCUUUCUAAUUUCUCUCUAAUUAAAGAAGCUAAAAUCCUAUUUGAUUUUGGAAUGUUUGCUCAGUCAGUUUGUGUCAAUUUAUCAACAUCUACAUGUGCUGUAAAAUCACUGUUAAGUACUGGAUAUCCAGCCA